AAAGUGUGGACUAUGUAAACAGUGCUUUUGUGGAUCGAAAAACUAGUGUGUGAGCUAAAACUAUGGUUUCUAUUCGAAAAUGUUCAAUAAAAACAGUAAAAAAGCAGUGACGUGCAUAAAUUUUGAUUGAUCGAUGAGCAAAGAAGGACGUGUAGUGCAAAAAUGGGUUAAAUUUAAGACAUUCGGGUUAAGUGGGCUCAAAAUGGGCAAACAAUAUACCUACUGACAAUCAUCAAACCAUAAUCGAAAUCUUCCAAAGCUGAUCGGAUCCACUAUGCGCCACUUGCAUCACGCAAAAGUGGCCCUUUGCACAAAAUUCAAACCAGCAGUGAUACACAACGAAGAUAACCUCAAAAAUUCACCAUCACCAGAGAGAAAAAGAAAUUGUGAAAGAAUUGAAGGAGUUUAUUUGGAAAAUCAGUUGGCAGAUAAUUUUGACCAGAAGUGACAAUUGAUAAAGACCAGAAGAUAAAAGAUUUCUGUUUAGAAGAAAUCUCUCACCAGAAUCAGGAUUAAUCUUUUACCAGAAUUGAAUCUGAAACCAGGAGCAAUUGUCUGGCCUUCUGGAGAAGUUUCGUAUUUUUUUGGCUUUAUUUUGUGGAACUAUUUUGGGAAUCUUUAUUAGAUGUGAUUUCUGAUCAAGAGUCAUCACCAAAAGGAAAGAUUUUUGACCAGUAGCAGAAAAGCACAAAGCAGUUGAUUCAUCUUUUGACCAGAAGAAGGUAUCUUUAACCAAAAGUAAAUUAUAACAAGGUGAGAUCUUUAACAAGAAUUGGCGUCUAAACUUUCAGAAGUUUUGGCAUCCAUUUGUUGAACUUAAAGGCAACUACAUUAUUUUUAAGCAAUUUUAUCUACUCUGGUUCCACAAGUUAUUAUCCAAAAAGAAAUCUCUGACCUUGAGUGAUCUCUAAUUAGAACCAGGAGCGAUCUUCAACGUGUUGGUGUAGUUUCAUAUUCUUUGGUUUUAUUUUGUUGAACUAUUCUAGGAAUCUUUGUUAGGAUUUCUAGCCAGUAGCAGGAGAAACAAUUCUUGACUAAAGUAGAUCUAACAGUUGGCUUUGUCUUUUUGACCAGGAUUUAACACUGAUUAGAUAGAAGGUA
Long non-coding RNA from Ctenocephalides felis (cat flea), 1101 nucleotides. RefSeq lists it as uncharacterized. NCBI's taxonomy places the organism in Eukaryota, Metazoa, Arthropoda, Insecta, Siphonaptera, Pulicidae. The record is from RefSeq and is a predicted model, not a curated record. The transcript is spliced from 3 exons.